CUCAGCCUCCCGAGUAGCUGGGACUACAGGCAGGCACUACCACACCCAGCUAGUUUUUGUAUUUAUAGUACUCAGGAGGCUGAGGCAGGAGAAUCGCUUGAACCCGGGGGGCAGAGGUUGCAAUGAGCGGGAUAUGGAGAAACUGGAAGCCUUGUACAUUGCUGCUAGGAAUGUAAAAUGGUACAGCCUCUAUGGAAAACAGUUUGGCAGUUCCUCAAAAAGUUGAACAUAGAAUUACAA
This 240-nucleotide long non-coding RNA is filed under the name Pan troglodytes (chimpanzee). RNAcentral's name for it is "long non-coding RNA NONPTRT006225". The record is from RNAcentral. Lineage: Eukaryota; Metazoa; Chordata; Mammalia; Primates; Hominidae.